RNAcentral lists this ribosomal RNA (449 nucleotides) under uncultured bacterium. RNAcentral describes it as "bacterial SSU rRNA". It matches the Rfam family "Bacterial small subunit ribosomal RNA", at positions 29 to 506 of the family's 1533-position model. The record is from RNAcentral.
AUGAACGCUGGCGGCGUGGAUAAGGCAUGCAAGUCGAGCGCGUAAAUGUGAGAUUACAUCAAAUAUUUGCGAGCGGCAGACGAGGUAGUAAUAAAUAGGUACCAACCCUUGAGUCGGGAAUAACUUGUCGAAAGACAGGCUAAAGCUCGAUAGUCUCUUCGGAGUAAAGUUUACGCUCGAGGAUGGGCCUAUUCGGUAUCAGCUAGUUGGUAAGGUAAUGGCUUACCAAGGCUAAGACGCCUAGGGGGGGUGAGAGCCUGUUCCCCACCGAUGGGACUGAGACACGGCCCAUACACCUACGGGUGGCUGCAGUCGAGAAUCUUCCGCAAUGGGCGAAAGCCUGACGGAGCGACGCCGCGUGAAGGAUGAAGUAUUUCGGUAUGUAAACUUCUUUUAUCUGGGAAGAAAUUAUUGACGGUACCAGAUGAAUAAGGGGUUGCUAAACUCGU